Molecule: ribosomal RNA, 490 nt
Filed under: uncultured bacterium
Lineage: Bacteria
Description: partial 16S ribosomal RNA
Rfam family: Bacterial small subunit ribosomal RNA
Source: RNAcentral
GAUGAACGCUAGCGAUAGGCUUAACACAUGCAAGUCGAGGGGCAGCAUGGUCUUAGCUUGCUAAGACUGAUGGCGACCGGCGCACGGGUGCGUAACGCGUAUGCAACUUGCCUCACAGAGGGGGAUAACCCGUCGAAAGACGGACUAAUACCGCGUACACUCCAUCUUGGGCAUCCAAGGUAGAGGAAAUGAAAUUCGCUGUGAGGUAGGCAUGCGUCCCAUUAGCUAGUUGGUGAGGUAACGGCUCACCAAGGCGACGAUGGGUAGGGGAACUGAGAGGUUGAACCCCCACACUGGUACUGAGACACGGACCAGACUCCUACGGGAGGCAGCAGUGAGGAAUAUUGGUCAAUGGGCGAGAGCCUGAACCAGCCAAGUCGCGUGAAGGAUGACUGUCUUAUGGAUUGUAAACUUCUUUUAUACGGGAAUAACAAGAGUCACGUGUGACUCCCUGCAUGUACCGUAUGAAUAAGCAUCGGCUAACUCCGUG